This is a non-coding RNA of Xyrichtys novacula (pearly razorfish), 3858 nucleotides long. Lineage: Eukaryota; Metazoa; Chordata; Actinopteri; Labriformes; Labridae. The record is from the annotation of a GenBank genome assembly.
CUUUAAACAAUAACGAUAGGCCUCAGGGUGUGUGGCAUUAUCAUUGCGCGAAGUGAAUCCACAGCUCUGUUUAGUCUCACUGUGGCAUUUUACUUUCAUCUGAGGGUGUAGACCAGAGUUAGAAAACAGGAAGUGGGGAUGAGUGUCUGCUGAUGUCAGAAAAGGAUGUGGUACUUGCACAAAUGCUGCAGUUGGAUCUUCCAGCAUCUUCCCCUCUAUCAUUGUCCAUAAUAGGUCAGCUGUGCAGUGGGAUUUGGUCACAGUCAUUCUCUAACACAUCAUUAACAGGCCAAAAAGAAGAGAGCAAGAGUCAGCUUCUGGUUUUACGUGUCGCUACUAAAGGCCUGUGGAAUUUGGACUUGUGGUACCAGUUGUUAAAAGUUGAGGCACUUGGAAAUGUGUCAAAUUUACAUAAAUAUUCAAAACUACAAGAAAACUUAGUAGCCCAGAAGUGAAUUAAGUUAAAAAUGUGUCUACAAUGUCCUUGAAGAGGUUUGGACAGUUGAUUCACAAUGAUAUGAGAGCAGUGUGUACAACUAUUUAAAGAAGUGGGAGAAUUAUGAGUUUUCUGGAGCUGAGGAAAGUGUAAGGGGUUGAAAAAAACAAAAUGGAAAGGAGGAAAACCAAACUCUGCUACUAUUGCUGCUUUUCCCUGAGGUACUGUCUGUUUGGACUCUUGAGAAUGUGAAAGCUCUGCUGGCCAGUGACCCUUUCCUUGCUGCCUCAAAUUCUGAUCGGUGUUUUGAGUUGGCCAUGGUGAUGUCGGUGUCGUGCUCCUUCAAGCUAAUUUGGAGAGGAAUUCAACAUUUGUCACUAAACUAUUAAGAAAAAGGCUGUAGCCCUGAUUCUUGCUCUGGGUCAUUUGGAUCUAUGUGUGUCCUCCAGUGAGCCCGUAGUCGUCUACACAGACCCUAACCUCAGGUCUCUCUUGGUGCGGUCGGGUCUCUUCCUGCAGGGAUUCAACCUCAACAUCCAACAUAUUUUAGGUAAGGACAACAUAAUUGCUGACACUCUGCCAAGGUUACGAGUAAAAGUGCAAAACUUCAUUUAUUUAUUUAUUCAUUUUUUGACUUAAAACAUGUAGUUUCUUUGAGUAAAAUUCGAUCACUUAAUUGAGCAAACUAUUAAUGAGAGGAGGUGUUAUGUGCAUAACUGUUUUUUUUUUUUUUUCUCUUCCAACCCUUGACUCAGCUCCAGAUUACUGACACCUGUGGGCUGCCCUACAAAACCUGUGUGUGGCUCCUCCUACUCGCUCUCUCAUACUGCAGCCAGGAUCAGCAGCAUAGCAGCAACCACUGAUUCCUUUUCUUUGUUUUUGUUGGUUGAUAUUGUUUUAGGAAAAGCUUUGUUUUGCUGAUUGAUGGCCUUUUGGACCCCUCUAUGUUGCUUCCCCUGAGGCAUGGUCGUAACAAUACAAGCAGAGUACAAAUCAGGACUGAAACGGACGAUGUGGCAAGAAUAGAGACCAGGCUCAAGUAGGCGUUAGCCAAUGCAUAUAAGUUUAACUUCUGUCAGGCACUGCAAACUUCUGCUAAAAGUGUAUUGUGUGGACAGGUUCAUCAACUCUUAAGCCACAAGGACACAUUCUGCGACAAACUGGAGGGUAAAAAGGCUUCGGCUCGGGGUACGCAGAGGAAACUGAAAGGUUUAAUACAUAUGCAAAUUGUAAAAAUCAUGUGCCGUCUCUGUAUCUCAACCCCUAAGGAGACAUUUUGUAUAAGAAAGCGCUCUCCAUCAGCUUCAUCAAAAUACCAAAUGAGUGUAAAUCUUUUGGAAGAAUAGCGUUCAGUCCCUUUGGUAGAACACCACGCCAAACAAAAGGAUAAGAGAUUUUUCAGAGACAUGCUAAACAAGUGCAAAGUAUGAAUUUACAUAAUGCCUGAUAUGAUUAAGUACCCACCGAGCAGAAUGUGUGAAAUGCUAAUACUGUAAUCUUUGCGAACCACACUCUCCAUUCAGACCCUACCUGUAAUCUCUGUGUCGUGUAUAUGUGCCGUGCCUGCAAACACGCCUCUGUGGGUGAUUGGAAUACAAUCGUAUUAUGUAAUAUGGGUGUCGUUGUGUUUGUUCAUGCAGGAAGGGCCCCCUAUUCUGAGUCACACUUUAGUCCGUCUCUCUGAUCCAUAAUCCUGUGAUUGAUCGUGGCACUUUAACCUAGAGGGUCCCGCUGUGUCCCGGAUCGACCUGCAGCCAUCUCCAUCAUAUUCACUUAAACGGAGAGAUCCUUCCGGUGUGAAAAAUGGAGGAAUGUCAGCAGGGAGAGAGAGGCAGCCCCUCUGCCACUGCGCCUCACACCGUGCACAGGAGUGGGUGGAAGCUGUAAUGGAUGAAAGAGGAAGGAAUUUAUUAAGCAGAGAUAGAUUACUGCUGAUGUGUUUCAGUCUCUUAUUCAGUUCAUCAGUGAAAGAGCUUCUCCAGCUGAAUUUUUCAUUUGAACCUUUUUUUCUACUUAAGUGGAAGAACAUACCUGUUUUAUUUAAUGUUUGUGUCUGUCUCCUACUGCUGCAGGAACAUCCUUUUCUUAAGAUUUUGUACGUUUUUAUCAGAUCUGCCAAAUGUUAUGAACCCUUUGAAAAGCAGAAAAUACCUCCUCCUCAAAGGACACAGAGUGAUCGGUAUGCUCGAAGGACAGUUUAAGGAAAGAAAUGUCUCUUGUCUUAAAUGUUGAGCAAAUAGUGAAUUGAAUACAAAUCUCUUUUUUGUACCAACUUAUGUUUUAUUUAUUCUUUAUUUUCCCACUUUUUGGCAGCUUUAAACUAUCUUCCUGUAUUAUAAAAACUUUUUCACUCCCUUGGACUCGUGGCUGGGGUCAUCUUAAGUUUUUAUGCCCGUGUGUUAAAUUGUAAUAGUCAUCCAUCUCUUUUUACAGUUUUUUUUUCUUAAAAAUCUUCCAUUUUAGUGUUAAUACCGCGCCCAGCCUUAUCUCCUACCCCUAUUGUAAGACAGUACUCUCUGUCAGCCACCAUAGGCUGUUUCAAUAUAAUAUAUUAGGGUUGAGUCGAGCUUUACGAAAGAUUGGGGAAUAAUAUAUUCAAUAACUCUCUCUACUGAUCUCAUUAUGCUGAAUCCUUUGUCAAAAUUUCUUUCUGGGUCAGUUUUUGCAGACGCUGAUGAAGCUGGGCUCGUGUUCAGAAGCUUCCUCAACUCAGUGUUUCACUGCUGGAGAGUUGAAGGCAUGAAUUUUGUCAUUAAAGGUGACCCAGAGCCUGGCAGGAUACAACUGGCCCCCUUCAAAUCCCAGUGGUUCAGAUACUACUUUUGAUUCUCAAAAGACUUGGGUGCCCUUGAAAAGAAGUGCUUCUUUGUCAGGCAAACCUAGCAUUUUCCUCCUGGCUGCUGAAAUGCGUCCUCCACCACCGACCUGCCUGGCACCACGGGGGGAGUUUAAAGAGAUUCACAAAACCUUUUCAAUCAUCUAGCUUCCACUGAAGUUGUUCAGCCAAGAGUCUUGGUCAAAAGGGUUGGCAGGUCCUGGUGCUUCAUAGUCUUUGAUUAGCAUUCAAGGGAGAGUAUGAAUCCCCCCCUGAAACAGCAGCAGUGGUCAAACCCUUGAAAGAAGCUUUCUUAGGUACCCUUCUAGCUGUGUGGAUAAGAACUGCUGCUGAAACAACAAGAGGCGAGCGUGGCUUUAUACCAACAGAUUCUCUUCAUUUCACACAGAGGUGCUGAGAUUGGGAUGAGGGACUCUUGAUUUCAAUCAUCCUGAAUCAAAUACAGCCCACCAGUGACGAGUCUGGACUGCGAGCAAACCAGUUUAGUACCCGGACUCCGACUACAAACAACAGAGCAGCUUUAAAGGCUCAUUUAUGCUCACAUGGAAAUGUACGCGUCUGUUUCAAACGAUGGUUCCGUCACUGC